This 204-nucleotide ribosomal RNA is filed under the name Escherichia coli. RNAcentral's name for it is "partial 16S ribosomal RNA". It matches the Rfam family "Bacterial small subunit ribosomal RNA", at positions 565 to 768 of the family's 1533-position model. The record is from RNAcentral. Lineage: Bacteria; Pseudomonadati; Pseudomonadota; Gammaproteobacteria; Enterobacterales; Enterobacteriaceae.
GCGCACGCAGGCGGUUUGUUAAGUCAGAUGUGAAAUCCCCGGGCUCAACCUGGGAACUGCAUCUGAUACUGGCAAGCUUGAGUCUCGUAGAGGGGGGGAGAAUUCCAGGUGUAGCGGUGAAAUGCGUAGAGAUCUGGAGGAAUACCGGUGGCGAAGGCGGCCCCCUGGACGAAGACUGACGCUCAGGUGCGAAAGCGUGGGGAG